AGCAGCCGCGGUAAUUCCAGCUCCAAUAGCGUAUAUUAAAGUUGUUGCAGUUAAAAAGCUCGUAGUUGAAUUUCGGGAUCAGUAGGUCGGUCGUGCCACUGGUAUGCACUGGCCUCACUGGUUCCUCCUUCCUGAUGAACCGUAAUGCCAUUAAUUUGGUGUUGCGGGGAAACUGGACUGUUACUUUGAAAAAAUUAGAGUGUUUAAAGCAGGCUAACGCUUGAAUACAUUAGCAUGGAAUAAUGAAAUAGGACGAUCGAUCCUAUUUUGUUGGUUUCUAGGAUUGACGUAAUGAUUAAUAGGGAUAGUUGGGGGCAUUAGUAUUCAAUUGUCAGGGGUGAAAUUCUUGGAUUUAUUGAAGACUAACUACUGCGAAAGCAUUUGCCAAGGAUGUUUUCAUUAAUCAAGAACGAAAGUUAGGGGAUCGAAGACGAUCAGAUACCGUCGUAGUCUUAACCAUAAACUAUGCCGACUAGGGAUCGGAUGAUGUUAAUUUUUAAUGUACUCAUUCGGCGCCUUA
Molecule: ribosomal RNA, 520 nt
Filed under: uncultured Glomus
Lineage: Eukaryota; Fungi; Glomeromycota; Glomeromycetes; Glomerales; Glomeraceae
Description: SSU rRNA
Rfam family: Eukaryotic small subunit ribosomal RNA
Source: RNAcentral